AGCUCCAAUAGCGUAUAUUAAAGUUGCUGCAGUUAAAAAGCCCGUAGUUGCAUUUCCGAGGCAAGGGAUUAGUCCGACCUUUGGUGGGUAUUUAAUCCUCUUGCCUCGUCCUUGAGUGGUGCUUCUUGGUAUUAAGUUAUCGAGGAGAUAGCCGCCCAUCGUUUACUGUGAGAAAAUUAGAGUGUUCAAAGCAGGCUUAUGCCGUUGAAUAUAUUAGCAUGGAAUAAUAAGAUAGGACCUCGGUACUAUUUUGUUGGUUUGAGAACCAAGGUAAUGAUGAAUAGGGACAGUUGGGGGUAUUCGUAUUCAGUUGUCAGAGGUGAAAUUCUUAGAUUUACGGAAGACGAACUACUGCGAAAGCAUUUACCAAGGAUGUUUUCA
Molecule: ribosomal RNA, 381 nt
Filed under: uncultured marine Chaetocerotaceae
Lineage: Eukaryota; Bacillariophyta; Thalassiosirophyceae; Chaetocerotales; Chaetocerotaceae
Description: SSU rRNA
Rfam family: Eukaryotic small subunit ribosomal RNA
Source: RNAcentral